UGUGUAGCUCAAUGGCAGAGCAAUGGCCUUCGAAGCCAGAGGUUGCGGGUUCGAUCCCCGUCAUAG
Molecule: transfer RNA, 66 nt
Filed under: uncultured Tubulinea
Lineage: Eukaryota; Tubulinea
Rfam family: tRNA
About the family: Transfer RNA (tRNA) molecules are approximately 80 nucleotides in length. Their secondary structure includes four short double-helical elements and three loops (D, anti-codon, and T loops). Further hydrogen bonds mediate the characteristic L-shaped molecular structure. tRNAs have two regions of fundamental functional importance: the anti-codon, which is responsible for specific mRNA codon recognition, and the 3' end, to which the tRNAs corresponding amino acid is attached (by aminoacyl-tRNA synthetases). tRNAs cope with the degeneracy of the genetic code in two manners: having more than one tRNA (with a specific anti-codon) for a particular amino acid; and 'wobble' base-pairing, i.e. permitting non-standard base-pairing at the 3rd anti-codon position.
Source: RNAcentral